AUGGGUUCUCAGAGCACCAUCAACCUCUUUUCUAGUGCUUUUCUUGUAGGUAUGUACACAAAGUCUGUUUCCCAGCUCCCCUCAACACUCUAUGGAGGAAGAGACUGCUUCUAUUCCCCAAUACUGGACCGUGGCCCUUCAUAUUCAUCCACGGAGCUGGCACAGUGGUUAACCCUUGGGAUGGUGAGAGUGUGUGGGACUGGCCAGGGGGGCUGCGUGGGCCCGACCUUCCAAAGUGAGAACCGAUGCCUUAUAUUCAAAGGGCUUAUCAUGCACAUCCCACUUGCCAGCAACAGGAUCACAUCUCACGUGGGGGCUGCCUGUCUUUGGGGAAGAGGUGGAGUGCUGGUAUGAAUCAUGCUGUCACCCGUGCAGAUGGAGAAAUGCCACUCGCCCUGAAUUUACGGGUCUGAGGACUCUUUCCUGCGCUGCAUAUGUCAAGUCACAACUGCAUGCUCAUGUCUUUGAACUCUUGUUCCAGAGAGAGGGAAAAAAAAACCUCUGAAGAUGAAAAUUUUCUCACUUUCUUGUCUUUCAGACUGCAGCUAUUUUUCAAGAUACGUUCUUUAUACCCUAAAACAUAAAAUCCCUGGUUUUGCCUUCUUCUCGUGACAAAGAAGGUAGGAAAGAGGGCGUGUUAACAGAGGUGGAAAUGAAACAAGCCUUUUCACAGACUGCUUAAAUGAAGAUUUACCUAACAUUUAGCAGAUGCGCUGAGAGUGCUAAAAGGUUCUGGAGCGUCCCCCAUGGCAUUAGGUAUGAAGACGAAGGUAUUUAGGACUCUGUGUCCCCUGACCUUGCUGAAACUUAGUCUUGAAUACAAAGAGGCAAAGUAGGCC
Molecule: long non-coding RNA, 839 nt
Filed under: Sus scrofa (pig)
Lineage: Eukaryota; Metazoa; Chordata; Mammalia; Artiodactyla; Suidae
Description: lncRNA (ENSSSCG00035039250.1)
Source: RNAcentral